CAAAUAUCAAUAAUGGUGUCAACCCCAGCAGUCUUCAGUUGGUCAAUACUGAAUAUAUUAAAGGUUUUGGACUGUUUGCAAGACUAAACAGGACAUUUUUUACCUAAAUUCUGAUAUUUUUCACCAUUUUCUGACAGUUUUAAUCAAACAAAAUAACUGGCAGAUGGAUCAAUAAUGAAAAUACUCCUCACUUGCAGUCCUAGAUGUAUGCAAAGUCCAACUUAUAAACCAAUUUCCAUUCUUGUAUUCAUCUAUAUUGAUAUACCAUGUGCACUGUCAGCCAUGUAAGGUUUCAUUAAAGACAGAUGAGACACAUAUAUGAUUUAAAACUCUAAUAAUGGACUAAUUACAUGGCAAAAAGUCACAGAUGAGUGUCACUCCUGAUGACACUGGGUCAUAAUAAGCUGCAUUGACUGACUGGCAAAGCAUCAGUCUGCUCGGCUUUCCUGCCACGAGUUUCCCCUUCACAGCUCUGACAGUCGGAAAAACGUGGAAAAACUCGGGUGAAAGUCGCAUUUUUGUGACUGAGAAGCUCCAACCAGGGCUUGUUUAAGAAACGGAUCACCUCUCUAUUGCUGUUAUUGAAAAGUAGUUGUAAAGAGAGUGUCUCUUCAUCCUCCACGUUUUCUCCGGGACCACAGAAGAAUGAGCGGCUCCUCCGUCCCCCUCAGCCAGACAGACUGCUGCUGGGAUGGGAGUGACUGGAUCCGUCAGCUCCCUCCCCCCAUCCACCAAUCACUGCUGCUCUGCAACUGGACUCAUGUGGAUUCAUUACUUAUUUAAUCACACGUAUUAUCAUAUAUUGUAUAUUAUUUUAUAUGCAUAUUUAGGACGAUAUUUUCUACUUUUA
Thunnus maccoyii (southern bluefin tuna) is the source of this 850-nucleotide long non-coding RNA. RefSeq lists it as uncharacterized. The transcript is spliced from 2 exons. The record is from RefSeq and is a predicted model, not a curated record. Lineage: Eukaryota; Metazoa; Chordata; Actinopteri; Scombriformes; Scombridae.